This 120-nucleotide ribosomal RNA is filed under the name Petromyzon marinus (sea lamprey). The record is from RNAcentral. Lineage: Eukaryota; Metazoa; Chordata; Hyperoartia; Petromyzontiformes; Petromyzontidae.
GUCAAUAACCAAACCAUCCAGAAUGUGCCCAAUCUUGUCAGAUCUUGGAAGCUCAGCAGAUUUUGAGCCUAGAUAGUGCUUGGAUAGGAGAUCGCCAUGCACAACUGGGGGCUACAUGCU